AGCGGCUGUGCCUGAGCCCCUGGCCUGUCGGCAGUGCAAUGGCAGCGUGAGGGGCAGACAGUCUUCCUCCAGAUGCCCCCUCACAUCACGGGGUUACAGAGGAAGCCUCUGCUCCUGUCCAGUGGCUGUCGGCCCGGCCAGCUUCCUGCUGCUGUAUCUUGGAAGACCAUGUGGGCUGCGUGGGUGCUUGGUCUCCUCUGAGCCUCCGGCCUCCAUAAGACCCAAAACAGAUGACACCUCUUCCCAGUCCC
Molecule: small RNA, 251 nt
Filed under: Pongo abelii (Sumatran orangutan)
Lineage: Eukaryota; Metazoa; Chordata; Mammalia; Primates; Hominidae
Description: processed transcript
Source: RNAcentral